RNAcentral lists this ribosomal RNA (2912 nucleotides) under Pseudomonas aeruginosa. Its description in RNAcentral is "23S ribosomal RNA". It matches the Rfam family "Bacterial large subunit ribosomal RNA". RNAcentral also lists the same sequence under 1 other name. Lineage: Bacteria; Pseudomonadati; Pseudomonadota; Gammaproteobacteria; Pseudomonadales; Pseudomonadaceae. The record is from RNAcentral.
GUUAUAUGGUCAAGUGAAGAAGCGCAUACGGUGGAUGCCUUGGCAGUCAGAGGCGAUGAAAGACGUGGUAGCCUGCGAAAAGCUUCGGGGAGUCGGCAAACAGACUUUGAUCCGGAGAUCUCUGAAUGGGGGAACCCACCUAGGAUAACCUAGGUAUCUUGUACUGAAUCCAUAGGUGCAAGAGGCGAACCAGGGGAACUGAAACAUCUAAGUACCCUGAGGAAAAGAAAUCAACCGAGAUUCCCUUAGUAGUGGCGAGCGAACGGGGAUUAGCCCUUAAGCUUCAUUGAUUUUAGCGGAACGCUCUGGAAAGUGCGGCCAUAGUGGGUGAUAGCCCCGUACGCGAAAGGAUCUUUGAAGUGAAAUCGAGUAGGACGGAGCACGAGAAACUUUGUCUGAACAUGGGGGGACCAUCCUCCAAGGCUAAAUACUACUGACUGACCGAUAGUGAACCAGUACCGUGAGGGAAAGGCGAAAAGAACCCCGGAGAGGGGAGUGAAAUAGAACCUGAAACCGUAUGCGUACAAGCAGUGGGAGCCUACUUGUUAGGUGACUGCGUACCUUUUGUAUAAUGGGUCAGCGACUUAUAUUCAGUGGCGAGCUUAACCGUAUAGGGUAGGCGUAGCGAAAGCGAGUCUUAAUAGGGCGUUUAGUCGCUGGGUAUAGACCCGAAACCGGGCGAUCUAUCCAUGAGCAGGUUGAAGGUUAGGUAACACUGACUGGAGGACCGAACCCACUCCCGUUGAAAAGGUAGGGGAUGACUUGUGGAUCGGAGUGAAAGGCUAAUCAAGCUCGGAGAUAGCUGGUUCUCCUCGAAAGCUAUUUAGGUAGCGCCUCAUGUAUCACUCUGGGGGGUAGAGCACUGUUUCGGCUAGGGGGUCAUCCCGACUUACCAAACCGAUGCAAACUCCGAAUACCCAGAAGUGCCGAGCAUGGGAGACACACGGCGGGUGCUAACGUCCGUCGUGAAAAGGGAAACAACCCAGACCGCCAGCUAAGGUCCCAAAGUUGUGGUUAAGUGGUAAACGAUGUGGGAAGGCUUAGACAGCUAGGAGGUUGGCUUAGAAGCAGCCAUCCUUUAAAGAAAGCGUAAUAGCUCACUAGUCGAGUCGGCCUGCGCGGAAGAUGUAACGGGGCUCAAACCACACACCGAAGCUGCGGGUGUCACGUAAGUGACGCGGUAGAGGAGCGUUCUGUAAGCCUGUGAAGGUGAGUUGAGAAGCUUGCUGGAGGUAUCAGAAGUGCGAAUGCUGACAUGAGUAACGACAAUGGGUGUGAAAAACAUCCACGCCGAAAGACCAAGGGUUCCUGCGCAACGUUAAUCGACGCAGGGUUAGUCGGUUCCUAAGGCGAGGCUGAAAAGCGUAGUCGAUGGGAAACAGGUUAAUAUUCCUGUACUUCUGGUUACUGCGAUGGAGGGACGGAGAAGGCUAGGCCAGCUUGGCGUUGGUUGUCCAAGUUUAAGGUGGUAGGCUGAAAUCUUAGGUAAAUCCGGGGUUUCAAGGCCGAGAGCUGAUGACGAGUCGUCUUUUAGAUGACGAAGUGGUUGAUGCCAUGCUUCCAAGAAAAGCUUCUAAGCUUCAGGUAACCAGGAACCGUACCCCAAACCGACACAGGUGGUCGGGUAGAGAAUACCAAGGCGCUUGAGAGAACUCGGGUGAAGGAACUAGGCAAAAUGGCACCGUAACUUCGGGAGAAGGUGCGCCGGCUAGGGUGAAGGAUUUACUCCGUAAGCUCUGGCUGGUCGAAGAUACCAGGCCGCUGCGACUGUUUAUUAAAAACACAGCACUCUGCAAACACGAAAGUGGACGUAUAGGGUGUGACGCCUGCCCGGUGCCGGAAGGUUAAUUGAUGGGGUUAGCGCAAGCGAAGCUCUUGAUCGAAGCCCCGGUAAACGGCGGCCGUAACUAUAACGGUCCUAAGGUAGCGAAAUUCCUUGUCGGGUAAGUUCCGACCUGCACGAAUGGCGUAACGAUGGCGGCGCUGUCUCCACCCGAGACUCAGUGAAAUUGAAAUCGCUGUGAAGAUGCAGUGUAUCCGCGGCUAGACGGAAAGACCCCGUGAACCUUUACUGUAGCUUUGCACUGGACUUUGAGCCUGCUUGUGUAGGAUAGGUGGGAGGCUUUGAAGCGUGGACGCCAGUUCGCGUGGAGCCAUCCUUGAAAUACCACCCUGGCAUGCUUGAGGUUCUAACUCUGGUCCGUAAUCCGGAUCGAGGACAGUGUAUGGUGGGCAGUUUGACUGGGGCGGUCUCCUCCUAAAGAGUAACGGAGGAGUACGAAGGUGCGCUCAGACCGGUCGGAAAUCGGUCGCAGAGUAUAAAGGCAAAAGCGCGCUUGACUGCGAGACAGACACGUCGAGCAGGUACGAAAGUAGGUCUUAGUGAUCCGGUGGUUCUGUAUGGAAGGGCCAUCGCUCAACGGAUAAAAGGUACUCCGGGGAUAACAGGCUGAUACCGCCCAAGAGUUCAUAUCGACGGCGGUGUUUGGCACCUCGAUGUCGGCUCAUCACAUCCUGGGGCUGAAGCCGGUCCCAAGGGUAUGGCUGUUCGCCAUUUAAAGUGGUACGCGAGCUGGGUUUAGAACGUCGUGAGACAGUUCGGUCCCUAUCUGCCGUGGACGUUUGAGAUUUGAGAGGGGCUGCUCCUAGUACGAGAGGACCGGAGUGGACGAACCUCUGGUGUUCCGGUUGUCACGCCAGUGGCAUUGCCGGGUAGCUAUGUUCGGAAAAGAUAACCGCUGAAAGCAUCUAAGCGGGAAACUUGCCUCAAGAUGAGAUCUCACUGGGAACUUGAUUCCCCUGAAGGGCCGUCGAAGACUACGACGUUGAUAGGCUGGGUGUGUAAGCGUUGUGAGGCGUUGAGCUAACCAGUACUAAUUGCCCGUGAGGCUUGACCAUAUAACACCCAAACA